GACAGAGGUGCCAAGCGUUAGGCGGAAUUACUGGGCGUAAAGCGUGCGUAGGCGGUUCGUUAAGUCAGCUGUGAAAGCCCCGGGCUCAACCUGGGAACUGCGGUUGAAACUGGCGAACUAGAAUCUGGCAGAGGGGGGUGGAAUUCCACGUGUAGCAGUGAAAUGCGUAGAGAUGUGGAGGAACACCGAUGGCGAAGGCAGCCCCCUGGGCUGAGAUUGACGCUCAGGCACGAAAGCGUGGGGAGCAAACAGG
RNAcentral lists this ribosomal RNA (253 nucleotides) under uncultured bacterium. RNAcentral's name for it is "partial 16S ribosomal RNA". It matches the Rfam family "Bacterial small subunit ribosomal RNA", at positions 524 to 776 of the family's 1533-position model. The record is from RNAcentral.